RNAcentral lists this ribosomal RNA (442 nucleotides) under uncultured bacterium. Its description in RNAcentral is "partial 16S ribosomal RNA". It matches the Rfam family "Bacterial small subunit ribosomal RNA", at positions 338 to 795 of the family's 1533-position model. The record is from RNAcentral.
CCUACGGGUGGCAGCAGUGGGGAAUAUUGGGCAAUGGACGCAAGUCUGACCCAGCAACGCCGCGUGAAGGAAGAAGGCUUUCGGGUUGUAAACUUCUUUUAAGGGGGAAGCGCAGAAGACGGUACCCCUUGAAUAAGCCACGGCUAACUACGUGCCAGCAGCCGCGGUAAUACGUGGGUCGCACGUGUUGUCCGGAUUUACUGGGUGUACAGGGUGCGUAGGCGGUCGGAUAAGUGAGAGGUCAAAUGUAGGGGCUUAACCCCGUGCCUGCCGCUGAUACUGUUCGACUAGAGAGCGGAUGCAGCAGGCGGAAUGAGUAGUGUAGCGGUGAAAUGCUUAGAUAUUACGCAGAACACCGAUUGCGAAGGCAGCUUGCUAAUCCGCAACUGACGCUGAUGCACGAAAGCGUGGGUAGCGAACAGGAUUAGAUACCCCUGUAGUC